Molecule: ribosomal RNA, 255 nt
Filed under: uncultured bacterium
Lineage: Bacteria
Description: partial 16S ribosomal RNA
Rfam family: Bacterial small subunit ribosomal RNA
Source: RNAcentral
UACGUAGGGUGCAAGCGUUAAUCGGAAUUACUGGGCGUAAAGCGUGCGCAGGCGGUUUUGUAAGACUGUCGUGAAAUCCCCGGGCUUAACCUGGGAAUGGCGAUGGUGACUGCAAGGCUAGAGUUUGGCAGAGGGGGGUAGAAUUCCACGUGUAGCAGUGAAAUGCGUAGAGAUGUGGAGGAACACCGAUGGCGAAGGCAGCCUCCUGGGUCAAAAACUGACGCUCAUGCACGAAAGCGUGGGGGAGCAAACAGG